UGGAGUCUGGGUUCUCGUCCCCAGGCGAUGUGCAGCGUGCCCAAACUUAGUGUUCCACGAGGCCAGAGUUCAGUUUAGAAAGAAUUGACAGAGACGAAAUGACUGUUGUUUCCAAGUUAGACCUAUGGCAUCAGCAGAUUAUUAUUAUUUUAGUUCCUUUUGAGCUGGACAUGCUCCUCUCAUACGACGUGCUGGCCCGUCAGCGCUCAAGAAUGUCAGCUGUCCAGUCUCUUUGAGUCUUCACAGACCAGAGCACGGAAAAGUCUUGGCAGCCAAGAGGACCGUAAAAAGACAGCGCAGCGCUUUUGCCCAUGUCGCCCUGCUAACUAGACUGUGGACGGCCGGCUUAUCGAUUUCGUCCAUCAGCACUUGUCACAGGGCCCUGUCAUCCCGGAGAGACCUCAUUGAAGUCGCCGUUCUCACGGAUCAGUUGCAACGCGGAGUGCGCCCACAGGCAACACGAAGCUGCUCCGGAAAAACUGAUGCUUUGUAAGCUUGAUUACCCAAGAGAUCCCGCCAGCUUGUACAAUGCCAUAGUUAGAAAGCACUGAAUACAGAAAUGACCAUUCAUGUCAGUUUGCUGGUCAAGACUGCUCUCGCAGACACCUCAAGUGCCUGCUGGGGAAUUCCCUCAAUGCAGCUGGCACUGCUGUGAUUCAUCCCCCUCCCUCACGAUCAGCAAACUAUCUAGUACUAAUUACCGAGUAAUCGGUAUAAUCGUUUCAGCCCUAGUAAGUAUCUACCCCAACACACAACCAAAGUGUGACAACAUGUGCAUGAAGCGUAUCCCCAAAGUUAACUAACAGACACUGCUCUGUGGUAUUUUAUGCUGUGCAUAUACAAGUCUCUCCUCCAAAAUGGUAUGGCAAUGAUAGUCUCGACAGGCUCCCACUGUACGACAAUAGCACGAUGGGAACUUGCAUACACAGAUA
Molecule: long non-coding RNA, 932 nt
Organism: Sycon ciliatum
Lineage: Eukaryota; Metazoa; Porifera; Calcarea; Leucosolenida; Sycettidae
Exons: 3
Source: RefSeq, a predicted model, not a curated record